GAAAGUCAGUUGGAGCCUGGCCAAGAGAUGAACUGAGAGACUUCCUUGACUUCUGACCAAGGGGGAGACUUCCCUGGUUUCUAACCAAGGGAGUGACUGGCUUUUUUCUGACCUAGGAUGAGACUUUGGUGUGGCUGAUGUUCAUGAUUGAUUGCUAUAUACUGGGCUGGUCUAUUAGCUAUCAGUAGUGAUCAAUAGGCACCCACUGAUACUAUCCCUGGUAGUAGUAUCUCCAUUACAACUAGGCACCCUCAGGUUUCCCCUAGUACCUCUCUAGUCAAGCCAGAGUAUCUCAGUUAUUUCAACCAGAAAUAUCUCCAAGAUUAUCUAUUCUAAUACAUCAAGAAUUCUCUUUCCUUCUGAAAAGAAGGCAAUAUUCAAAAAUCCUUUACACACCUCUGUUUUCUGCCACCUCUACUUCAGAAACAUCCCUGACAACACAGCAGGUAUGGGCAUAUAUAUCCACAAUAGGUAGAAGUUGGAUUCAUUCAUGCUCCAGUAGAAUACUUUUCAUUUCAGAGGGACUUUCAUUCAGAGGGACUAAAGAUCCCCAUAUUAAAAAUAUCUUGUGACAGGGAACUAUGUUUUAUUAUUUUUUUUGGACAGCACUGUCAGAAUGAAUCAUGUUUCAAUUUAAUGAGUUACAAAAUAAUUAAGAGGUAUGUGUUAAUAUGGUAGUUUGGGACAACAGCAGAACUGACUGUGCUACAUAGCUCAUAAUUAUGCCACCAUAACCACUGACACAAGUAAAGGAUGUUAUUGACAUUAUUGAAUUAGUACACUUAAGAAAGAUGGGUUGUAGCUUCUGUCAGAACCAUUAGUUUGGUUAUAACUGUUAUGGGAAGAUAUGGCUUUAAGCAAAGUAAGAUUAAGACCCUGAUAAACUUCUGAAGCUUAGAAAGUGAAUGGCAAUGUUUUCUGACUCUAUUUUGAGUUUUUUACUUUAGUAGGCAAAGAUUUAUCUGCUUUUACAUGGCAGCCUAUGUCUUUUCCUGGGCUGUUAUGAUGUGAGUCUGUCUUUGGUACUUUUCCUG
Molecule: long non-coding RNA, 1034 nt
Filed under: Monodelphis domestica (gray short-tailed opossum)
Lineage: Eukaryota; Metazoa; Chordata; Mammalia; Didelphimorphia; Didelphidae
Description: lncRNA (ENSMODG00000032351.2)
Source: RNAcentral